MicroRNA precursor from Homo sapiens (human), 93 nucleotides. It matches the Rfam family "mir-544 microRNA precursor family". The record is from Rfam. Lineage: Eukaryota; Metazoa; Chordata; Mammalia; Primates; Hominidae.
AUCACCUGGGGAUCUUGUUAAAAUGCAGAUUUGAUUAAGUCUAGGAUGAGGCCUGAGAGUCUGCAUUUCUACCAAGAUCUCAAGGGAUGUAGA